UGCGUAGGUGGUUUUUUAAGUCAGUGGUGAAAGCCUACAGCUUAACUGUAGAGGUGCCAUUGAUACUGGAAAACUUGAGUAUGGACGAGGUAGGCGGAAUUUGUGGUGUAGCGGUGAAAUGCAUAGAUACCACAAAGAACACCGAUAGCGAAGGCAGCUUACUGGACCAUAACUGACACUGAGGCACGAAAGCGUGGGGAGCGAACAGGAUUAGAUACCCUGGUAGUCC
Molecule: ribosomal RNA, 229 nt
Filed under: uncultured bacterium
Lineage: Bacteria
Description: partial 16S ribosomal RNA
Rfam family: Bacterial small subunit ribosomal RNA
Source: RNAcentral